RNAcentral lists this long non-coding RNA (1319 nucleotides) under Salmo salar (Atlantic salmon). RNAcentral describes it as "lncRNA (ENSSSAG00000085240.1)". Lineage: Eukaryota; Metazoa; Chordata; Actinopteri; Salmoniformes; Salmonidae. The record is from RNAcentral.
CCUUGGUUCGCCCCCCCGUCCCUUGGUUCUAGUAAUAUCCAAUUCUUUGUUAACAGAAAAUCGUUUGUUUUUGGGGGGGGAUUCUGGGUUUUGCUCAUUUGGGGUUUUUCUCAAAGGAAAAAACCAAGUUUAAGGAUGAACAGUCUUGUGCUUGUGAAUAAACACUAGUUAUUCAGUGGGAACAAUUUAUUCUAAUGGUAAUUCAGUAAGGAAAGGUGGAAUGACAACCCAUAAAGCCUUUACAUGUUACCCUAAUAAAUACUGUUGGUUAAUUCACAGUGCUAUGUUUUCCAUUUCUGGAUGAUUGGUUUGCAAUGAAUAACAAUGGAUGUAAUAUGAUUUCUGCAUGAAGAACAAACAAGGCAGAAACAUAAUACUAAAGAUUGUUACACUUUUCAUUACGUCGCAAGAGAGACUCAACCCUACGACAACAUGAAAUGGUUCUGCUGUUAUGAGACUCAACCAGAGAUAUGUUUAUAUAUAUAUAUAUACACUAGAUGACUACCAGGGGGUGCUGUUAUGAGACUCAACCAGAGAUGUUUAUAUAUAUAUAUACACUAGAUGACUACCAAGGGGGUGCUGUUAUGAGACUCAACCAGAGAUGUUUAUAUAUAUAUAUAUACUAGAUGACUACCAGGGGGUGCUGUUAUGAGACUCAACCAGAGAUGUUUAUAUAUAUAUAUAUAUACACUAGAUGACUACCAAGGGGGUGCUGUUAUGAGACUCAACCAGAGAUGUUUAUAUAUAUAUAUACACUAGAUGACUACCAGGGGGUGCUGUUAUGAGACUCAACCAGAGAUGUUUAUAUAUAUAUAUAUAUACACUAGAUGACUACCAGGGGGUGCUGUUAUGAGACUCAACCAGAGAUGUUUAUAUAUAUAUAUAUAUACACUAGAUGACUACCAGGGGGUGCUGUUAUGAGACUCAACCAGAGAUGUUUAUAUAUAUAUAUACACUAGAUGACUACCAGGGGGUGCUGUUAUGAGACUCAACCAGAGAUGUUUAUAUAUAUAUAUAUAUAUACACUAGAUGACUACCAGGGGGUGCUGUUAUGAGACUCAACCAGAGAUGUUUAUAUAUAUAUAUACACUAGAUGACUACCAGGGGGUGCUGUUAUGAGACUCAACCAGAGAUGUUUAUAUAUAUAUAUAUAUACACUAGAUGACUACCAGGGGGUGCUGUUAUGAGACUCAACCAGAGAUAUGUUUAUAUAUAUAUAUAUAUAUAUACACUAGAUGACUACCAGGGGGUGCUGUUAUGAGACUCAACCAGAGAUGUUUAUAUAUAUACUAGAUGACUACCAGGGGGGCUGUUUUGAG